GGAAAGGGAGCUGGCCAGGGACAAGGAGAAGAUCCAGGCGGAGAGUAAAUAUUUGGCGGUUGUGUUGGGGCCUCAUAAACGGUAGCUCUGGGCUGAGGGCAAACAAAUAAUGAAAGACAAGGUGUGGCCAAUGAGUAGAAGAAAUGUAUCCACGGGCGAGGUCUGCUUGGGCCUAAUUUUAGAAGACUCCUUAGCACACUCACAGCACAACUAGGUGGUAAUGGCUGGCAGGAGCGGGGCAUGCAGCUGCCACCAAACAACCCCACAGGCAGGAGAAGGACAGUUGACCUGAGUUGGGUCCAACAGGAUCCAGUUGUU
Long non-coding RNA from Mauremys reevesii (Reeves's turtle), 318 nucleotides. RefSeq lists it as uncharacterized. The transcript has 3 exons. NCBI's taxonomy places the organism in Eukaryota, Metazoa, Chordata, Testudines, Geoemydidae. The record is from RefSeq and is a predicted model, not a curated record.